RNAcentral lists this ribosomal RNA (460 nucleotides) under uncultured bacterium. RNAcentral describes it as "partial 16S ribosomal RNA". It matches the Rfam family "Bacterial small subunit ribosomal RNA", at positions 338 to 795 of the family's 1533-position model. The record is from RNAcentral.
CCUACGGGAGGCAGCAGUGAGGAAUAUUGGUCAAUGGCCGUAAGGCUGAACCAGCCAAGUCGCGUGAAGGACGAAGGUUCUAUGGUUUGUAAACUUCUUUUAUCGGGGAAUAAAGGUAUCCACGUGUGGCUAUUUGCAUGUACCCUAUGAAUAAGCAUCGGCUAACUCCGUGCCAGCAGCCGCGGUAAUACGGAGGAUGCGAGCGUUAUCCGGAUUUAUUGGGUUUAAAGGGUGCGUAGGUUGUUUUUUAAGUCAGCGGUGAAAGUUUGUGGCUCAACCAUAAAAUUGCCGUUGAAACUGGAAGACUUGAGUGUGUUUGAGGUAGGCGGAAUGCGUGGUGUAGCGGUGAAAUGCAUAGAUAUCACGCAGAACUCCGAUUGCGAAGGCAGCUUACUAAGCCAUAACUGACACUGAAGCACGAAAGCGUGGGGAUCAAACAGGAUUAGAUACCCGAGUAGUC